UAAGCGGAGGAAAAGAAACUAACAAGGAUUCCCCUAGUAACUGCGAGUGAAGCGGGAAAAGCUCAAAUUUAAANUCUGGUGGUCUUUGGCCAUCCGAGUUGUAAUUUAGAGAAGCGUCUUCCGCGCUGGACCGUGCACAAGUCUCCUGGAAUGGAGCGUCACAGAGGGUGAGAAUCCCGUCUUUGGCACGGACACACCAGGGCUUUUGUGAUGCGCUCUCGAAGAGUCGAGUUGUUUGGGAAUGCAGCUCAAAAUGGGUGGUGAACUCCAUCUAAAGCUAAAUAUUGGCGAGAGACCGAUAGCGAACAAGUACCGUGAGGGAAAGAUGAAAAGCACUUUGGAAAGAGAGUGAAACAGUACGUGAAAUUGUUGAAAGGGAAACGCUUGAAGUCAGUCGCGUCGACCGAGACUCAGCCUUGCCUUGGCUCGGUGUACUUCUCGGCCGACGGGUCAGCAUCAAUUUUGCCCCUUGGAUAAUGGCGAGGGAAAUGUGACACCUUUAUGGUGUGUUAUAGUCUCUUGUCGCAUGCAAGGGUUGGGAUUGAGGAACUCAGCACGCGCCUUUGGGUGUCGGGGUUUUGCCCACGAUACGUGCUUAGGAUGUUGGCGUAAUGGCUUUAAACGACC
RNAcentral lists this ribosomal RNA (627 nucleotides) under uncultured Russulaceae. Its description in RNAcentral is "LSU rRNA". It matches the Rfam family "Eukaryotic large subunit ribosomal RNA", at positions 47 to 649 of the family's 3401-position model. Lineage: Eukaryota; Fungi; Basidiomycota; Agaricomycetes; Russulales; Russulaceae. The record is from RNAcentral.